RNAcentral lists this ribosomal RNA (451 nucleotides) under uncultured bacterium. RNAcentral's name for it is "partial 16S ribosomal RNA". It matches the Rfam family "Bacterial small subunit ribosomal RNA", at positions 29 to 523 of the family's 1533-position model. The record is from RNAcentral.
AGCGAACGCUGGCGGCAGGCCUAACACAUGCAAGUCGAACGCCCGGGGCAACCCGGGAGUGGCAGACGGGUGAGUAACACGUGGGAACGUACCCUUCGGUUCGGAAUAACCCAGGGAAACUUGGGCUAAUACCGGGUACGUCCGCGAGGAGAAAGAUUCAUCGCCGAAGGAUCGGCCCGCGUCCGAUUAGCUAGUUGGUGGGGUAAUGGCCCACCAAGGCGACGAUCGGUAGCUGGUCUGAGAGGAUGAUCAGCCACACUGGGACUGAGACACGGCCCAGACUCCUACGGGAGGCAGCAGUGGGGAAUAUUAGACAAUGGGCGCAAGCCUGAUCCAGCCAUGCCGCGUGGGUGAUGAAGGCCCUAGGGUUGUAAAGCCCUUUCGGCGGGGAAGAUAAUGACGGUACCCGCAGAAGAAGCCCCGGCUAACUUCGUGCCAGCCGCCGCCGUAA